ACGUCAGCGCAACAGUUGAGUGGUUGCCAGGUUGAGUAUUUUCCCGCUGAUUGUGAGAUUAUAAAAUAACUAACUUAGUGAUCAAACAGUUUAACGUUGGUUAAAGGUGAUAUUUAUGUUUUAUUUGGAUGAUGAACGGAUGGUUUUUGGGGCAUUUCUGUGGAUAGUCAACAUAUUUCAUGCGGAGAAUCGUCGGUUGUAUCUGGCAACCAGCUAGAGUCAGGAACAAAGCAGUGAAAUGGAGGACGGACAGAGCUGGAUGAUGACUACCGUUAAACUAGAAGAAGAAGAAGAAAUAUUAUGAAGGGAAGUGAAGCUGAGUAUGAGUAAGACGGACAGUGAUGAUGAUGAUGAUGAAGGCUGCAGGAGGAAAGCUGUGCUGGAGGAGCUUCGUCAUCCCGACCAUGUGUGGGACGGAAUGUUUGCUCCAAAGAUGGAGAAAAGCGGAGAAGAAGAAACGGAGGAGUUUUCAGAUGUGUGCUCUGUGAAGGAAGAGCUGUUUGGUGUUUAUAGUGGAGUCAGUGUGGAGGAAGGAGAUAGACUUAUCAACAAAUGUGAAGUGUGUAAGUUCUUGAUGGUGGAGAUGCAGGAGGCACUGGAGAGGACAGGUCGGUCCAAGGAGGUGCUGGAGUUGGGGGAGGUGCUGGACACGGGCAAGAAUAGAUGCAAUAUUAAAUAGUACACGUUGUAAGAACACACUCAUCAACCAUAAUUAUCCUUAAAUAGCUUUAGAAUGCUUAGGAUUUUAAAGCAUUGCAUCGUGGGUAGUUGAUGAUCUGUGUGUUGAUGUU
This 791-nucleotide long non-coding RNA is filed under the name Gouania willdenowi (blunt-snouted clingfish). RNAcentral's name for it is "lncRNA (ENSGWIG00000004207.1)". The record is from RNAcentral. Lineage: Eukaryota; Metazoa; Chordata; Actinopteri; Blenniiformes; Gobiesocidae.